GAUGAACGCUGGCGGCGUGCCUAACACAUGCAAGUCGAACGCAGAAAGAGAGCUUGCUCUCUGGCACAGUGGCGAACGGGUGAGUAACACGUGAGCAAUCUGCCCCUUACUCUGGGAUGAGCGCCGGAAACGGCGCCUAAUACCGGAUACGAGGUGCGAAGGCAUCUUCAGCAGCUGGAAAGAACUUCGGUCAGGGAUGAGCUCGCGGCCUAUCAGCUAGUUGGGGAGGUAACGGCUCACCAAGGCUUCGCCGGGCAGCCGGCCUGAGAGGGUGACCGGCCACACUGGGGCUGAGACACGGGCCAGACUCGUACGGGAGGCAGCAGUGGGGAAUAUUGCACAAUGGGCGAAAGCAGUAUGCAGCAACGCCGCGUGAGGGACGACGGCAUUCGGGUUGUAAACCUCUUUUAGCAGGGAAGAAGCGAAAGUAACGGUACCUGCAGAAAAAGCUCCGGCUAACUACGUG
Molecule: ribosomal RNA, 466 nt
Filed under: uncultured bacterium
Lineage: Bacteria
Description: partial 16S ribosomal RNA
Rfam family: Bacterial small subunit ribosomal RNA
Source: RNAcentral